AGUCGAGGGGCAGCAUAUGAGUAGCAAUACUUAUGAUGGCGACCGGCGCACGGGUGCGUAACGCGUAUGCAACCUACCUUUUACAGGGGCAUAACACUGAGAAAUCGGUACUAAUUCCCCAUAAUAUCUGAGACGGCAUCGUUUCGGGUUGAAAACUCCGGUGGUAAAAGAUGGGCAUGCGUUGUAUUAGCUGGUUGGUGAGGUAACGGCUCACCAAGGCGACGAUACAUAGGGGGACUGAGAGGUUAACCCCCCACAUUGGUACUGAGACACGGACCGAACUCCUACGGGAGGCAGCAGUGAGGAAUAUUGGUCAAUGGACGCAAGUCUGAACCAGCCAUGCCGCGUGCAGGAAGACGGCUCUAUGAGUUGUAAACUGCUUUUGUACGAGGGUAAAUGCAGGUACGUGUAUCUGUUUGAAGGUAUCGUACGAAUAAGGAUCGGCUAACUCCGUGCCAGCAGCCGCGGUAAUACGGAGGAUCCAAGCGUUAUCCGGAUUUAUUGGGUUUAAAGGGUGCGUAGGCUGUGAGGUAAGUCAGCGGUGAAAUGCCCCCGCUCAACGGGGUGAAGUGCCAUUGAUACUGCCUUGCUGGAAUGCGGAUGCCGUGGGAGGAAUGUGUGGUGUAGCGGUGAAAUGCAUAGAUAUCACACAGAACACCGAUUGCGAAGGCAUCUCACGAAUCCGCGAUUGACGCUGAUGCACGAAAGCGUGGGUAUCAAACAGGAUUAGAUACCCUGGUAGUCCACGCUGUAAACGAUGAUGACUAACCGUCGGCGAUACACAGUCGGUGGCCAAGCGA
This 800-nucleotide ribosomal RNA is filed under the name uncultured bacterium. Its description in RNAcentral is "bacterial SSU rRNA". It matches the Rfam family "Bacterial small subunit ribosomal RNA", at positions 60 to 854 of the family's 1533-position model. The record is from RNAcentral.